Molecule: ribosomal RNA, 279 nt
Filed under: uncultured bacterium
Lineage: Bacteria
Description: partial 16S ribosomal RNA
Rfam family: Bacterial small subunit ribosomal RNA
Source: RNAcentral
UGCCAGCAGCCGCGGUAAUACGGAGGGGGCUAGCGUUGUUCGGAAUUACUGGGCGUAAAGCGCACGUAGGCGGAUUGGAAAGUAUGGGGUGAAAUCCCAGGGCUCAACCCUGGAACUGCCUCAUAAACUCCCAGUCUUGAGACCGGAAGAGGGUAGUGGAAUUCCCAGUGUAGAGGUGAAAUUCGUAGAUAUUGGGAAGAACACCGGUGGCGAAGGCGACCACCUGGCUCGGAUCUGACGCUGAGGUGCGAAAGCGUGGGGAGCAAACAGGAUUAGAUA